UUUUUUUUGAAUAUCUGUUCAAAGUUUCAAUUUUUUUUCUAUUUGACUCCAUUGGUUGCACAAGCUUCCCAGAAUUAUCAUGUGUUUCAUCGUGGCUAGUUCAUCUACGGUUGCGUCUUCCAAAUCCUCCGCAUCAACCACAUCUAUUAUCGUGAUUCCAAAUCUCUAAUCGACGAAAAGAGUCAAAACCCUGGUUCUCGUGAGGUUGGACGUGAGUUGCCGAUAAAGAAUACUUAAGUGAUGAAUUGUAUAUUAGUGUUUCGUUGACUAGAUUCAGCAUAUGGGUUCUUGAAAUCUGUUUGGUGGCUUUUCAGUGUCAGCUCAUUUUGAUUUUUUGGUCUGAGAUUCGAUUCAUCUGUUUUGGUCGUAAAAUUGUUUCCUUAAUUGCUGAGCCGAGAAGAUCGAAAGCUUCAGAGUUUGAAGCUGAUUCGCUGUCAAAAUUAUAUAACUCAUGAGCUCAGUUGCAGCCUGCAGGUUCAGUACAAAUAUCUGUUGAUUUUUUUUUCUCUUUGAAUGGUUACUUUUUUUUUGUUUGUCAUCGACUUAUACGGAUUCAUACUGACUCUGUGAACCAAACUGGGAGAUUUUGAUCCAUGUGAACGACGAAAGAUGAUUGCUUUCUGACACUUCGUGCUAGGCCAUCCGCCUUUGUAUUUUGCGUCCUUGAGUAGUGCUUCCAUCUCCGCAUGAAGAGGAGAAAGACUAGCCCGGACAUUCCUCGCCCCUAACAGCCCAUCAAAUCCUUCUAGAGUACUAAACCAACCCUGUCCAGAAAAAAUAUCAUUCUCAUUCCAGGAACCAUCUGUAAAACACCAUCUUCCUGGAAUUAACGGUAAAGUCGUAACCUCUAUGUGUCGUACAUUCCUCUAUUCGUUCAAUAUAUGUGUCUCAGCCCAAAGUGUUGACUCUGUUUCUGCCAAAUUUAGCGUGUCUCUAGGAUCAAAAUCCAGAUUAGUAAAAACUUUAUAUUUCUUCAUUUCCAAAUAUACCAUAGUAUCCAUGCAAACUGAUGAUCAUCCAUCUGCGGAAAAACUCUCCAGAAGAGAUGAUCCAUGGAUUACGAUUGAUGGGUUAGUUUUUUAGAGUAUCAUGGGCCAUAGGAAUUGGUCACAAAAAAAAAUGCUCUUUUCAAUAUCAGAUUCUUUUUGAAUCUGCGAUUCAUAAAAGUGAUCACUUCCAAUGGACAAAGGCAAUGUUGAGUUGAUAAUUGACUCGGAAAAGACAGUUCCUAAACAAGUUGAGAUUUUGUUCAAAUAAGCUUGUGUUACUUUACUGGAGUACCAACUGGUGUUGAUCCUUGCUUGUAUGUGUGAUGCUAUGAACAAGCUUGGCAGCUAUUCCAACAAAUUAAACCCCUUUGUACAUUUUCUUUACAGGUUUCAACUUUGGCUUCUUAAUUUUUGUUCGUGAAAGGAAUGUAUAAGUUAUGUGGUGAAGAAGCAUGCUACGAAUCUUUCCUGAUUUUGGCAAAGCUCAUUGGUUCUCCUAUAAAAUCGGUUCUCCUAUAAAAUCUUUCCUGACUUUUAAUGAUCAGAAUGUUCAAAUCAACUCACUUGCUUAUAUCCUCCUUGAUGUCUAAUUCAACUCCCUUGUUUCAGUCUUUUUGUGUUUCUUCUUUUAUAUUAACAUUUGGUGAUUGAAUCAUUGCAGGCAAAGUUCAGCUUGAAAAACCCGAAUCACAACCUUUUGUUAGGGCCCUGAAGACAACAAUCGACUUCCACUUAAUGAUUUUGUCUGAAAGUAUAGAUUUGUAAGCAUUUAGCUCAAAUGUGUACAUGUGGAUACUUAAUAUAGUUAGAUUCUUAAUAUUGUUUU
Brassica oleracea var. oleracea is the source of this 1815-nucleotide long non-coding RNA. RefSeq lists it as uncharacterized. The transcript is spliced from 3 exons. The record is from RefSeq and is a predicted model, not a curated record. NCBI's taxonomy places the organism in Eukaryota, Viridiplantae, Streptophyta, Magnoliopsida, Brassicales, Brassicaceae.